AAUCCAUUCUACAACUAUCAAUUCAACAAUACUUCUCUCAAUCACAAUUCUUCAUAAGCAAAUAAUAAAAGCAAAGAAAACAAAGAGGUAGCACCAAGCUUACUCCGGCUUAUGACUCUCUUAGUGUGGCUCUGAUCUCUCUUUCUUCAACCUAUUUAUCAUACCAAAAAGAUGAUUCGUCGGCGAGCGGAUUCGAAAGGUUAUGAACCUUUGAAUUCUUAACCAUUUAUUCCACUAACAACUUAUUGUUACCAGCUAAACUGCCUAGCCAUCAGUCUAAUUCUCAAGGUUAUCAAUAACCAACCAGUAACUUACCACAAAGUUUAUUUGCCUAUUCUACAUAGCCCCACUCAUAAUUUUCCAGAAUCCUCAUAAACAUUAUUUAGCCUCAACUUAUAAAGAUGUAGCAGCGUUGGCUUACCACCUUUUGAAUUGGUGACCUUCUCCUCUUUAUAUCUUCAUCAUCUGCCUUAGUGUUCGAGGGUUCUCCAUCCAAACGCGUUGUCAGAUCUUCAUUUAACAAACCCAAUUCCCGUACCUGAGACUCACGUCAGUAAUUUGGUUGUCAUCCUCCUCCAACAUCUUCUGCCAUUCUUCUGUCGGUUUCAAAGGUAUCUCUAAAAGUGUUGUCACUGAAACUGGCAUAUUAGUCUGCACUAAAUUAUUGGCCUCAUUUCCUAUGCGGCUAGUUUAGUCUGUAACAUCGCAAUCUCUACCUACAACCGUUCUUGUCGUUCCUUCCAAUGGGUCUCCAACCUUGCUUUCUCAGAUACCAUAUUCACCAUCUUCUCCUUAACCACAAAAGAAAGUGCGAUGCUUGUCAAGAGCCCCUCUCUUACUUCUUACUAUGGUCCAAUCAAUUGAAUCAACUCCCCUUUUAGUAACAGAAAACUCAUCCUGGAUUUAUGUAUAAUAAAGUUUAAGCCGAUUGCCAUUGAUCCAUAUCAUAAAUUUAGUAUCCAUAAAAUCUUUCAAUUGUACGGAAUCAUUUGGAAAUCUGUCAAUAACUUGAUAUGGCCCAUGCCAUCGAACUUGAAAUUUUCUUAAAUUUUUUUUAAAUUGACUAUCAUAAAGAAGUACCAAAUCAUUUGGCAUAAAAGCCUUUAGUCUAAGCUUACUAUCAUAAUAAGUCUUCCUUCAUUUUUGUGUAGUUUCCAUGAUCAUUAAUGCAUUGGCUCUAGUUUCAUCUAAUUUUUUCAAUUCUUCUAAAUGGUGCCGUAAUGAAUCCAGAUCUCCCAAUCUAGUAUCUAUAGCAAUUCGUAAACUUUUGACUUCUAAUUCAAUAGGUAAUAUUGCUUCCUGGCCAUAAAUCAAUUGAAAAGGGGUAGCAUUGCUAGUAACUUUAUACGCAAUAUGGUAUGCCCAUAAAGCUGCAAACAACUUAGUGUUCCAAUCCGUUCCCACUCCUGAAACUAUUUUUGUUAAGAUUUUACAUAAAAUUCCAUUAGUCUUUUUUGUUUGUCCAUUGGCUCUAGGAUGAUACGGUGUAGUCUUCCGAUGUUUUAUCUUGUAUUUAGUCGUGAGUGCUUUGAUUGUACUAUUUAAAAAAGAAUUCCUCGAUCUCUAACCAAUUCUCAUGGGUAAUCGUAACGUGUAAUAAUAUUUUUAUACAAAAAGGUUGUUACUGUAUUUGCACUGUCAAUUUUCAUAGCUACUUCUUCAGUCCAUUUUGUUACGUAAUCCAUUGCUACCAGUAUAUAUCAUUUUUUUCCAUUUCUCGAGGCUGGUGCAAUUGAUCCCACAAAAUCAAUUCUCCAUUUUUCAAAAGGUACUUGAGCCAAAAUUGGUACCAAUGGCACUGCUGAAGUUCCAGUAGGUCGACCCGUUCUCUAACAUGGGUUACAAUGACGGACGAAUUGGUGGGCAUCUGCAAACAUUGUUGGCCACCAAUAACCAACCUAUAAAGCUUUAUGAGCCAUGCUGUCCCCCGCAAAAUGUCCACUACAACUAUCCAAGUGACAACCUUCCAAUAUAGUAUGCACUUCAGUUUGAUAAAUACAAUAUUGCAAAACUCCAUCCUUGCCUUCUUUAUAUAAAGCUUCACCAAUCAUUGUAUAAGGUGCACAUUUUAAUAUUAAGCGUCGUUUAAGCUUUUCAUUGAAAUUGAGUGGGAAGGUUUGAAAUGUCAAGUAUUGAAUUAUUUCACUAUACUCUGGACUAAUUACAUCUACCGCAAACAGUUUCGCAUCAAGUAGUGCAUCGUUAAUGGAUUCAUUACCCAAUAUAUUGGAUAAUCGAGAUAAAUGGUCUGCAUUGGAAUGUGAUUUUCCUGAUCUUAUCUGAAUAGUGAAGUCAAAUUCCUGCAAGAGUAGAAUCCAUCGUGCAAUAUGACCACUCAAUUGAGGCUUAUUAAUCAUAUAUUUUAAAGCAUCAUGGUUGACAUGAAAAAUAAAUUUAUAACCAAGAAGAUAAUGUCGAAAUUUUUGUACGAAAUAAAUCAUCUCCAAUGCUUCUCUUGCAGUUGUUGUAUAAUUUCUUUUAGUUGCUACCAAUUGACAACUUGCAUAAUAAAUAGGGUGAUUAAAACUCCAGUCAUCUUUCUGGCUUAGCAUAGAACCAAUCGUGACAUUAGAUGCAUCCACAUAAACUUGGAAUGGUUUUGUCCAAAAAGGUGCCACCAAUAUUAGUGUUGAAACCAAUUUUUGUUUCAAUGUUUCGAAUGCAAUUGUACAUUCCUUUGUCCAAAAUGGACUAGUUCCAUUGGUUAGUGAUUUCUUCAAGAGAUUUGUCAAGAGAAGGCAUAUAACUACGAAUAGAUAGAUAAAUCGCUGGUAAUAAUUGAUAUGGCCGAUAAAUACUCGAAUAUCCGUAAUAGUGUCUAGUUGCUUUAAUUCUAUUAUAAUCUUUAUUUUAUCCGGAUCUAUAGCAAUGCCUGCUAUUGAAACUAUAUGAUCCAAUAGUUUAUCAGAAGGCACACCAAAUUGAUACUUUUCUAAAUUUAAAGAAAUUCCAUAUUUGGCACAUUGAUUCAAACAUUGAUCAAGACAUUCUAAAUACUUGACUCUAAUACUAAAUGUACAAAAAUCAUCUAGAAAUAUUUCCAUUGAAAUUUGUAGAUAAUCCUGGAACGCUUGCAUCAUUAUUCUUUGAAAUGUAGCUAGUGCAUUACAAAGUCCAAACGACAUAACCUUAUAGGCAAAGGUCCUCCAAUCUAUAGUAAAAGUAGUUUUUAACUGGUCUUCUUUUACAAUCUUAACUUGAUUAUAACCGGAGAAUCCAUCAAGAAAUGAAUAACAUUCAUGUCCGCAUACGACCAUACGAAAGCAGUUUUAUGCAUUAAAAAGUAAUCCACCCAAAUUUCUUUCUCCUUGUCUUUUAUACCAUCAUAAAUCUGAAUGAUUUGAGGAGCCUCUCCUAUACCUAAAUUAAUUGGUUGACAUUGAAGAAUUUCAGGUGUCUCUGGAAUAAUAUUCUGCUCAAUUCUAAAAUCUUUCAUAAAAUCUGACACAUUAGAACUUUCCAACUCCAAUUCCAUAGCACUAACAUGAUUAACAUCCCAUCUAUUCAUCCAAUAUGUAAUCAUAUGAUCAGAAUCGUCAAUAACAUCUGGAGGAACUAAGUACUCUCCCGAUCCACUACAUUGGUACUUCAUUCUAGUGUGUUCAACAACUUGCCUUAUAUUAGCAUAAAUUGGGUCAAAUGUACUAAUUUCUUCUUCUGUAGACUCAUCUUCACAAUCCGACGUGAAUUUUGAACUGACAACUUGAGUUUCUCCGUGAUAUUAGAUAGGGUAUAUUUGAAGCACAAUUUUAUCAUUACUUUUUCCAAUUGUCAAUGUACUUUAUCCCCAGUCAUUUCGAGCUUUAGCUUGAUACAACCAUGGUCACCUCAAUAAAAUUAGGUAUGAUAAUAUAGAACUUUGUAAUUAAAAAAUAAUAUAAUCAAUUUUGUAGGUAAUCUCCACAAUUAGUGUAUCAAUACUUCGUAAAAUAUCCAUAGGUUUAACUCGACUGGAGUCAGCCAUUUUCAGAACUACUAUAGUAGGCAAUAGGUGAUCCAAACCCAACUCCUCCAUUGUAGCGCCAUUCAUAAGAUUUACACUAGAUCCUCCAUCUACUUGCACUUUCGAUAGUAAUACUCCAUCAAUUGAGACAUCAAUCAAUGGUGCACCCGGAUCCAAAUUCAAACUUACUUCUCGGAUUUCUUUAUUUCAAUAUCCGUGACGAAUUAAUGAGGAAUUCAAGAUAGUUCGACACUCAGGUGCUACCACCAAUAGUUACUUCAUAGAGAUCGUGGGCUGUAUGGUGCCCAAUUCUUUUAGAAUAUCAUAUGGUUUUGUAUUAGUGGUAAUUUCCAAUGUUCGUUUCUUCUUCCCAGUCCUAGACACCAACGUAGAUAAAUUGGUUUUCUCUAUAUUGAAAAUAGGUAAAGCUACUAGAACUGAAUUUGACGGAGCCUGUAAAAUUAGUUCUUUUAAUGAGUAAGAUUUUUCUCCCAAUCAGGCUGAUAUUGGUUCCCUAGAAUUUACGCCUCUGAGAGAAUCUUUCAACGAAAAGGACAUUUUUCAAAACUGUGUAGAGAACAGAACAGCUUGACAUAGAAUCGAAGCCUCCGUAAUCAGUACCUCAUUAGGAUGCACAACUGAUUCAGGUCUUAUACUGAGUAAGAGGCCCAUGUCAGGACCUGGAUUGGAUGGCCCUAUAAUUCGGUCCAAUUGGUCCUUUGCUUCAGGAUCACUCAAAUAUUAAAUUGGUCAUUUUUUCUUCUAUUGACUUUUUGUAAGGACAGCUUGAACUACUUCUAUCCGAUGAACUGGUGAAUCUUGAGGACCUUAAUUUAUCUCUUUCAUUGUUCUUUGGCUUUGGAUCUGCUGAUCUCGAUUAUUGAAAUUGAACGGAGCAUUAUAUUGCUAAUAAGUAUGUCCCGACUGCUUGCAAUUUACACAUACUGGCGCAUAAUUGUCAGUGGCUUUGGGAUUGGGACAUUCACUAGUAUAAUGACCAAUUUGUCUACAACGGAGACAACGAAGUGAUCUUCUUGCACUUCCAUCUAGCAUAUAGGGUGUUUCCACCAGUAUAUACAUACUAGGCUUGUUCCAUGUAGGGUUAAAAAAUGAUCUUGGUUGUCUCAUUGGUACAAAAGAUACUUGGUUUGAUGACACCGGUGGAGCAUAUUACUGAUACCUCUGCUGCUCCUUCCUGUAGUUCUGGGGGUUUGAUGUAGAUCCCUGAUUAAAAUAGGAACUUUGAAAGUUAUUAAAUAUUCAAUUUUAUCGAUUAGAUCAAUUUUUAUUCCAUCCAUACGUAUUUUCCGUUUGAACUUGAUUGACUUCCCACUCAGUCGGUGGGAUCAUGGUCUAAUUACUGAAUUGUUGUUGCCUUUAUAAAUGCGAGCAGUUUUGGGUAGGAUGCUUUCCUCCACAAGAUGUAAAUUGAACACCCAUUUGUCUAUGUGAUGGACAUUCCGUAUCAAAAUGACCUUGUCCCUUACAAUUAUUACACCAUACAUUAGGUCUCGUAUUAGAAGGCUUAUGUCGUUUCUCCUUAUCUUUAGCCAAAUUCAUGGCCAAUUCUUCCAUCUUCUUUGUUAGAUUUAAUAACAAGGCUUCAUUUGGAUCUUUAACAAUCACAUUUGUGAACAACUCUAGUUGUUGAUAGGUUGACGAUGUAAAAUAAGGUAUCAUUGUUAUUGGCACUAUUGCUUAGAGUGGUGUAGCAUUAAUUGGUUCUUGCAAUAUAACAUUCUUCACAUUGGAGGCAGCCAUUGGAUAAUUACCCAUCGAUACAUUUUCUAGUUGUAUUUGUUGGCUUUUUGAAUUUGGAAUCAUCGUGGCUCCCACUAUUAACAAUUGGUCAUAAUGACAUUCUUUCCACACCUUUGCUCGUGCCAACGAUGCCUCUACUGUAGUUGGUCAAGCCUCUUCUACAAACAUUUUUAAUUCUGAUGGAUGCAAACCGUUAAUUAAUAUCGAUAAUAUAAACGCAUGUGGCAUUUGAUUAUUUGACCAUUUACGAAGUAUAUCCAUGAUCCAACCAUCUCAACCAAAUAUCUUCAAUUCUACUAUUAUUAGCCAUAUAAGUUGUCAAGAAUUGAGAUAUAUGGUGAUCGAGAUCAGAGCCCAACUAACCACUAAAAGUAGGUAAUGGUGCCACACUUCUAGUUUGGUCUCCUACUGCUCCCAUUUGUACCGCAAUUGGUACUUCUGGCACUCCCACGGCCAUUGGUGUUAUCAUUGGUCUCUUUACUAUUUGAAUCUGAAUUUUUUUUCCUUUGGUUUUUUUUGGACCUGCAAUUUCUUUUUGUCGUUCUUGUAGGAUAUUUCUUAUGCGUAAUUGCUCCUAUCUUUCUUUCGCUUAUCGAUUAAUUCUUUGAUAAUUCUCCCCUCUAUGAUUAUCACUCAUAAUCUUUCAUUCUUCUUUACAAAAUCAAUAUUUCCUUGAAUUAUAAUUCACAUAUUUGUAACCCUAAAAUUGGUUCUUCUCACCUUCUCAUUCAACAUAUAAUUCCAUCUCCUAUACAAUCAAUUUCUAAUAUUUCAUACUGUUAUCAUUUCCCUGAUAGUGGCGCCAAAAUGUUGUUCUUGUUGUGUUCAAGCUUUAGUAUACCAAAGCAAUUGAACUAAUAGAGGUAGGUUCAAACACAAGGAAAGACUAGUUAUAAGAAUUGGGUCUGUUAGUGUCACAAUUGACUGUACUCUAGCUAUCUGAAAUCAAUUAUCAAACUACAAAAUACCAAGGCUUACUACUUCCGUCUUGAUUCAACACAUAAUCCAUUCUACAACUAUCAAUUCAACAAUACUUCUCUCAAUCACAAUUCUUCAUAAGCAAAUAAUAAAAGCAAAGAAAACAAAGAGGUAGCACCAAGCUUACCCCAGCUUACGACUCUCUUAGUGUGGCUCUGAUCUCUCUUUCCUCAACCUAUUUAUCCUACCAAAAAGAUGAUUCGUCGGCGAGCGGAUUCGAAAGGUUAUGAACCUUUGAAUUCUUAACCAUUUAUUCCUCUAACAACUUAUUGUUACCAGCUAAACUGCCUAGCCAUCAGUCUAAUUCUCAAGGUUAUCAAUAACCAACCAGUAACUUACCACAAAGUUUAUUUG
This 7036-nucleotide long non-coding RNA is filed under the name Physcomitrium patens. Its description in RNAcentral is "long non-coding RNA (PPAT_LNC010286)". The record is from RNAcentral. Lineage: Eukaryota; Viridiplantae; Streptophyta; Bryopsida; Funariales; Funariaceae.